CACGCCCUAAACCGAAUGCGCGUUAGGUGUAUCGGUGACCACGAGUCACCGAGGUGCCGAAGGGAAACCGUGAAACGUGCCGCCUGGGAAGUACGGUCGCAAGGCUGAAACUUAAAGGAAUUGGCGGGGGGAGGCACCACAACGGGUGGAGCCUGCGGUUUAAUUUGGACUCAACGCCGGGAAGCUUACCGGAUAAGACAGCGGAAUGAUUGCCGGGCUGAAGACCCUGCAUGACCAGCUGAGAGGUGGUGCAUGCGUAGUCGUGU
RNAcentral lists this ribosomal RNA (266 nucleotides) under uncultured archaeon. RNAcentral describes it as "partial 16S ribosomal RNA". It matches the Rfam family "Archaeal small subunit ribosomal RNA", at positions 747 to 1006 of the family's 1478-position model. The record is from RNAcentral.